GAUGGGUACUGAGACAAGGACCCAGNNNNNACNGNNNNCAGCAGUCGCGAAANNUCCGCAAUGCANGAAAGUGUGACGGGGCUACCCCGAGUGCCAUCCGCUGAGGUUGGCUUUUCUUUGGUAUAACUANCCANGGGAAUAAGGAGAGGGCAAGACUGGUGUCAGCCGCCGCGGUAAUACCAGCUCUCCGAGUGGUAGGGAUGAUUAUUGGGCUUAAAGCGUCCGUAGCCUGCUUNGCAAGUCUCCUGUUAAAUUCAGCGACCUAAUCGUUGAGCCGCGGGAGAUACUNCUAGGCUAGGAGGCGGGAGAGGUCGACGGUACUUCUGGGGUAGGGGUGAAAUCCUAUAAUCCCGGGAGGACCACCAGUGNCGAAGGCUGUCGACUAGAACGCGCUCGACGGUGAGGGACGAAAGCUGGGGGAGCGAACCGGAUUGCCGUAAACGAUGCGAGCUAGGUGUUGGGGUGGNUAC
RNAcentral lists this ribosomal RNA (470 nucleotides) under uncultured archaeon. RNAcentral's name for it is "partial 16S ribosomal RNA". It matches the Rfam family "Archaeal small subunit ribosomal RNA", at positions 295 to 786 of the family's 1478-position model. The record is from RNAcentral.